This is a long non-coding RNA of Vespula vulgaris, 3957 nucleotides long. RefSeq lists it as uncharacterized. The record is from RefSeq and is a predicted model, not a curated record. NCBI's taxonomy places the organism in Eukaryota, Metazoa, Arthropoda, Insecta, Hymenoptera, Vespidae. The transcript has 3 exons.
UUCCAUUGUUUAGGCACGUUUCUCUUUGUACAUUAAUAGAAAUCUUUGCUCAUAUUUAAGAUAAAACAUAUCUAAUUCUUAUAUAGGUAGGAUACGUUUUCAUUUCAAUUCUACAAAGGAGAUUUUGCUUCUCUCUCGUUACAUAGUUCUAUUUUGAAUCUAUGGUUAGGACAUAACAUAUUGUUACGAAGCAAUUCACAAGUAUUGUAAUACAAAAUAAUGUAAAUACAAAGUAUUGUAUUUCACGAAGCACAAGCCUCGAGGAUAUAAAUUUCCCUUGAGGAGUUCCUAUGCGUGAGAUUAUGUGUCUUUUUGGUUUUUACCUACUGUGUGCAGUAUAUGGCACGGGACUAGCACUUAAUGGUAUCUAAACAGAGUACGUAAGCCAAUAAAAUAACACCUACGUUUGGUUUCGACGAAUCGGAAUGUUGUAAUUUAUAAUACUCUGAUAACGUGAUGUUUUGGCAAUGAGGAUUGGUUGGCAGAAACUCAACGCUGAAAUUCAUUUCUUUGAUUGAUAGAUUGAAUGCUAUUACUGCUGGAUAGGUUGAUUCCUUUAUCCUCGUUUCGAUUGCUCUAUUCCAGAGAGAGUAGAGAUAAUUGCAGCGAUAUUGUGUCAGGAAUUUGUCAAAAAUGUCGCAGAAAACGAAUUUCUAUAUCGUGUUUGAGCAACUUAUAAUCGAACGAAUUUGAAAUAGAAUUGAGAUUUGUUCCGAUAUGAAUAAUACUGUUACGUUCUACGCUGACCCAAGACUAUAAAAAAGAAACUAUAAAAUAUGACUCCAAAUUUUACCAGAUAUAACUAUGAAUAAGUGACAUCUCCUUUUUCAUAAAUGUUUAUAAAAAUACUUCUAAUACCAUUAUACAAAGAGCGACGUGACCUAAGCUAAUCUAACAUGUGAAGAGCAGAGGAAUAAUGGAUGCUAGCAUAUGUGCGAGCAUAUGCGACAAGUCUAUGGGGCCUCAUCCCCACCAUCAGACUCAGCACUCCAAGCGUCCACAGCGGCCGUAUUAAAGAGAAUCUUAUUAACAUCUCCACCUCUAGCUAGGGAGAGAAUCAUAAUGAACCAAUGACGGCACAAAUGAGCGGCAGAUCACCCUUCACUGAUUCGUUAACGCUUUCUAUUUAACCGGCUACACACGCCAUCUCUACGAUUAUUCAAUUUUCUGAGUUUUGUUCCGACAUGAUUUUUCGAUUAUUACUACCACUGUUAUUUUGAUUGUUCACACAGAUUAUUCGAUUAUUAUUCGAUUGUUCUUCUAUUAGCAGUUUCUAUUAUUGUUACUUAUUAUAUCGACGGAUUAUUCGAUUCUUAGUUGUUUACAGUACGGAUUAUUCGCUUUAGUCUAUUUCUUAUAAUUAUACGACACGAUUAUUACUUUGACGUUUAUAUUACGAUUAUUACUUCAGUUACUAUUGUCUUAAAAUCCAGUACAGAUCGUUAUUCUUGUUGAAUUGUAUCUAUUUGUUAUUGUUGCCUUGAAUAAAUUAAGCAUUAUUGAAAUUUAGUCUAAGUCAAUAAUCUCGGUUGUGCCUACGGAAACGAUUCACUUUUCUCCUAAUUCAUUUAGAAGUGAAUCUUAACACAUUGUUGUCCGGAAAUUUUACACAGAAAUUGUCAUGUCACCGGCUAUUAUUUUAUAGCAAUGACGAGUUAACUAGUCAGGUUAACAAUGUGUUAAUUCAACAUCGUUCAAUUAUAAGUUGCAUAACACUAACCCAGUCCAAAUUGAAUGUUCCAAAUGAAAAUCCAAAUAACCGGUUCAAAAUUUAGCGCAGUUUCGUAUACGCUUCAAUAAGGAAGGAUUUUGACGUGGGCUUCAUGAUCAAUAAGAUCUUGUCCUUAGUAAAAAAUAUUAAAUUUAUAAACAAAAGAUUAGGAUUGCUCAUUAUGCAGGGUCGAUGAUACAAGAUCGCAAUAAUCUAUCUGCAGGCGCUAACGGCAUACUUUUUGAAGUCAAUGUGAAGUUAAUGUAUCGAUUAUUCAAAUUUUCAUUUUUCCUCCAAAAUUUGCCGAAUAGUAAUGAUUUGAUCUAUAAUCGAUCUAUUUUUCUUAAAAACGCAUUGAUGGUCCCCAAUUAUUUCAUCUGCAUAUAGUAGAAGGAUUGUUGAUUUAGAUUUUAAAUUUAUUAAACAAAAUUUUAUAGCAUGUAGAUAAAAGUGAGAUGCCCUGACAAUUAUUACAAUUCAUUUUGUCGCUUUUUUGAAAAUUGAGAUUAUAAUUAAAUCUUUCCAUUGUUUCGGCAAUGCUUCUUUAUUCCAAAUUAAGAUAAUUAAUUCUUCUAUCAAUCCACUUUUCCACUUGAUUAAUUCUGCUGGAAUUAAGUCAAUAUGGUGCUUUAUGAUUCUUUAAUUUUUUAACUGUGUUUUACUUCUAAAAUCGUCGUCUCAUUAAUUAUAGGUUUAAAUGUUGAAAACUUUUAAUAUUCAUAGCGGAUUAAAGUAGAAGGAUGCAUUAUCAUCUCUUUUAUUCAAUUUAGUAUUGAAAUAUGCCGUGAAAGAUAUACAGAAAAAUGAAGAUGGUCUAUAGUUGAACGGUAUAACACAACUGUUAACAUGUGCAGAUGAUAUUGCUUUGCUAGGGUAUCUAUAAUUUGAUUGGAUCAGGCAUGAGAAAGCUUACCUACAGGUGUAAUAAGUAUGGUUGUUCAUCUAUUUUGAACACAAAUUUGUAGACAAAAUUCUUAACAUUUCAGCAUACAAUCACUUGACUAAUUUCAAAAAAUAUAAUCUUAUUGUAUUAAAAGCUAAAGAUAAAGAACUUUCUUUGUAGGUAUCAAAUGGUGAUUUUAAAUGCUAAAGAUAAAGUUGAAGAUAAACUAAAUUUUUUUACGAUGAUAAUAAUACAAAAAACUAUUAAUUGUUAUAAAACGGCAAAUGAUUAUACGAAAGAAAAUAAUUACAAAAAACUUUUAUUGGCUAAAACAGCAGAAAAUUUUUGCAAUACGAUUCAUUGAUUCUAACAAUUGCAUAAUUGUUUUUUCAACAGAAUCAAAUAUAAAGCAUAUCAGGAUAAAUGAAAGAUAAUCAAGAAUAAUGAUGUAUCAAUCAUGGAUAGUAUAUCUAAGAAUGCACUGACCAGUUUUGAAAAAUUAUUUAUUAUACAAGGUCUGAUAAAGGAUCUGAAAGGAAUGUUAUUACUUCCAAAGAACUUUUUGAUUUUUUUAUUGGGAAAAAAAAGAAGAUCGUAAUUGAAAAUAUUCGGCUGGUCUAAAAUAAAUUAUCCUGAUUCGGAACAGAAUAAUCGUUCUAUAAAUUUUUCCAAUGUAUAUCGAAAAUCAAUUAAUAAAAUAUGUAUAACUAUAAACAGUAUCGAAGGACUAUAUCAUCACUACAAUAGUUUAAUACAGAAGCAAGAAGAAGCAAGUUACCAUAUGUUACUAGUGAUACAUUGUGAUCUAAUAUCUGAAGAUUUAAAGUAAACAAUGUUAUUGUUGCUGGGUUAAAUUUUUUUUACCCUCUUCCCCCAGUAGCGCAAAAUGUCGAAAAUUCGCAAAAAUGAAAAAAAAAAUUUGUUAUCGCUCAAUAUGAAAAUUCUAAAAUUUUACUCAUUUACGAAAAAAAUUAAUUAGUAGUAUUCAAGGUAUAAUGAAGAGGUGUGAAAUAUUUUUUUAACCUCUGAAAAUGCCAGAAAAUAUGAAAGAUAAAAUUGCUUAUGCUGAUGAGUAUGAAAUAAUACUAUUGUUAUUUAGAUACGAACUGAUUAAAGAUGAACAAAACUGUGUCACAGUGAUGCUAAUGUUUUUUUAAAAGAAAUCAACAGUAUAUUGAAAUGUUUGAAUGGUAUAAAUUAUACAUGUCGAUAUUCUCAGACUAUCUUUAUUUUACAAACUGGUUUAUGAUUAUCUAAAUUUAAAAUCUGUAUAAAAAUAAUCUUGAAGGCAAUAUACUACGUUUAACAUAAUAUGGGAUUUAAAAAAGUAGAAAAUACAAAUAGGAUUAUCUCAUAUUAAAAA